GACGAACGCUGGCGGCGUGCUUAACACAUGCAAGUCGAACGGAAAGGUCCUGCUUGCAGGGUACUCGAGUGGCGAACGGGUGAGUAACACGUGGGUGAUCUGCCCUGCACUUCGGGAUAAGCUUGGGAAACUGGGUCUAAUACCGGAUAGGACCGCACUUUAGUGUGUGUGGUGGAAAGUUUUUUCGGUGUAGGAUGAGCUCGCGGCCUAUCAGCUUGUUGGUGGGGUAAUGGCCUACCAAGGCGGCGACGGGUAGCCGGCCUGAGAGGGUGUACGGCCACAUUGGGACUGAGAUACGGCCCAGACUCCUACGGGAGGCAGCAGUGGGGAAUAUUGCACAAUGGGCGCAAGCCUGAUGCAGCGACGCCGCGUGGGGGAUGAAGGCCUUCGGGUUGUAAACUCCUUUCGCUAGGGACGAAGCUUUGUUGUGACGGUACCUAGAUAAGAAGCACCGGCUAACUACGUG
This 466-nucleotide ribosomal RNA is filed under the name uncultured bacterium. Its description in RNAcentral is "partial 16S ribosomal RNA". It matches the Rfam family "Bacterial small subunit ribosomal RNA", at positions 28 to 507 of the family's 1533-position model. The record is from RNAcentral.